AACGAACGCUGGCGGCAGGCCUAACACAUGCAAGUCGAGCGGAUCCUUCGGGAUUAGCGGCGGACGGGUGAGUAACGCGUGGGAAUAUGCCCUUCUCUACGGAAUAGCCUCGGGAAACUGAGAGUAAUACCGUAUACGCCCUUUGGGGGAAAGAUUUAUCGGAGAAGGAUUAGCCCGCGUUGGAUUAGGUAGUUGGUGGGGUAAUGGCCUACCAAGCCUACGAUCCAUAGCUGGGUUGAGAGGAUGAUCAGCCACACUGGGACUGAGACACGGCCCAGACUCCUACGGGAGGCAGCAGUGGGGAAUUUUAGACAAUGGGGGCAACCCUGAUCUAGCCAUGCCGCGUGAGUGAUGAAGGCCUUAGGGUUGUAAAGCUCUUUCAGCUGGGAAGAUAAUGACGGUACCAGCAGAAGAAGCCCCGGCUAACUCCGUGCCAGCCGCCGCGGUAA
RNAcentral lists this ribosomal RNA (449 nucleotides) under uncultured bacterium. Its description in RNAcentral is "partial 16S ribosomal RNA". It matches the Rfam family "Bacterial small subunit ribosomal RNA", at positions 29 to 523 of the family's 1533-position model. The record is from RNAcentral.